GAAGCAACAAAUGCCCUGCUUCCAGGAAAAGCCUCUAAGCAUCAGGUAACAUCAAAUCGUACCCCAAACCGACACAGGUGGUCAGGUAGAGAAUACCAAGGCGCUUGAGAGAACUCGGGUGAAGGAACUAGGCAAAAUGGUGCCGUAACUUCGGGAGAAGGCACGCUGAUAUGUAGGUGAAGCGACUUGCUCGUGGAGCUGAAAUCAGUCGAAGAUACCAGCUGGCUGCAACUGUUUAUUAAAAACACAGCACUGUGCAAACACGAAAGUGGACGUAUACGGUGUGACGCCUGCCCGGUGCCGGAAGGUUAAUUGAUGGGGUUAGCGGUAACGCGAAGCUCUUGAUCGAAGCCCCGGUAAACGGCGGCCGUAACUAUAACGGUCCUAAGGUAGCGAAAUUCCUUGUCGGGUAAGUUCCGACCUGCACGAAUGGCGUAAUGAUGGCCAGGCUGUCUCCACCCGAGACUCAGUGAAAUUGAACUCGCUGUGAAGAUGCAGUGUACCCGCGGCAAGACGGAAAGACCCCGUGAACCUUUACUAUAGCUUGACACUGAACAUUGAGCCUUGAUGUGUAGGAUAGGUGGGAGGCUUUGAAGUGUGGACGCCAGUCUGCAUGGAGCCGACCUUGAAAUACCACCCUUUAAUGUUUGAUGUUCUAACGUUGGCCCGUUAUCCGGGUUGCGGACAGUGUCUGGUGGGUAGUUUGACUGGGGCGGUCUCCUCCUAAAGAGUAACGGAGGAGCACGAAGGUUGGCUAAUCCUGGUCGGACAUCAGGAGGUUAGUGCAAUGGCAUAAGCCAGCUUGACUGCGAGCGUGACGGCGCGAGCAGGUGCGAAAGCAGGUCAUAGUGAUCCGGUGGUUCUGAAUGGAAGGGCCAUCGCUCAACGGAUAAAAGGUACUCCGGGGAUAACAGGCUGAUACCGCCCAAGAGUUCAUAUCGACGGCGGUGUUUGGCACCUCGAUGUCGGCUCAUCACAUCCUGGGGCUGAAGUAGGUCCCAAGGGUAUGGCUGUUCGCCAUUUAAAGUGGUACGCGAGCUGGGUUUAGAACGUCGUGAGACAGUUCGGUCCCUAUCUGCCGUGGGCGCUGGAGAACUGAGGGGGGCUGCUCCUAGUACGAGAGGACCGGAGUGGACGCAUCACUGGUGUUCGGGUUGUCAUGCCAAUGGCACUGCCCGGUAGCUAAAUGCGGAAGAGAUAAGUGCUGAAAGCAUCUAAGCACGAAACUUGCCCCGAGAUGAGUUCUCCCUGACUCCUUGAGAGUCCUGAAGGAACGUUGAAGACGACGACGUUGAUAGGCCGGGUGUGUAAGCGCAGCGAUGCGU
Molecule: ribosomal RNA, 1325 nt
Filed under: Escherichia coli
Lineage: Bacteria; Pseudomonadati; Pseudomonadota; Gammaproteobacteria; Enterobacterales; Enterobacteriaceae
Description: partial 23S ribosomal RNA
Rfam family: Bacterial large subunit ribosomal RNA
Source: RNAcentral